This 522-nucleotide ribosomal RNA is filed under the name uncultured Glomeraceae. RNAcentral describes it as "SSU rRNA". It matches the Rfam family "Eukaryotic small subunit ribosomal RNA", at positions 569 to 1092 of the family's 1831-position model. Lineage: Eukaryota; Fungi; Glomeromycota; Glomeromycetes; Glomerales; Glomeraceae. The record is from RNAcentral.
AGCAGCCGCGGUAAUUCCAGCUCCAAUAGCGUAUAUUAAAGUUGUUGCAGUUAAAAAGCUCGUAGUUGAAUUUCGAGAUCAGUACGCUGGUCGUGCCUUCGGUAUGCACUGGUGUUACUGGUUUCUCCCUUCUGAAGAACCGUCAUGCCAUUCAGUUGGUGUGGCGGGGAAUCAGGACUGUUACUUUGAAAAAAUUAGAGUGUUUAAAGCAGGCUCGCGCUUGAAUACAUUAGCAUGGAAUAAUGAAAUAGGACGUUUGACCCUAUUUUGUUGGUUUCUAGGAUCGACGUAAUGAUUAAUAGGGAUAGUUGGGGGCAUUAGUAUUCAAUUGUCAGAGGUGAAAUUCUUGGAUUUAUUGAAGACUAACUACUGCGAAAGCAUUUGCCAAGGAUGUUUUCAUUAAUCAAGAACGAAAGUUAGGGGAUCGAAGACGAUCAGAUACCGUCGUAGUCUUAACCAUAAACUAUGCCGACUAGGGAUCGGAUGAUGUUAAUUUUUUAAUGACUCAUUCGGCGCCUUACG